This 424-nucleotide ribosomal RNA is filed under the name uncultured bacterium. RNAcentral describes it as "bacterial SSU rRNA". It matches the Rfam family "Bacterial small subunit ribosomal RNA", at positions 355 to 796 of the family's 1533-position model. The record is from RNAcentral.
UUCAGAAUCUUGCACAAUGGACGAAAGUCUGAUGCAGCCAUGCCGCGUGUGCGAAGAAGGCCUUCGGGUCGUAAAGCACUGUCAGAGGGAAAGAUUAUGACGGUACCCUCAAAGGAAGCCACGGCUAAUUACGUGCCAGCAGCCGCGGUAAUACGUAAGUGGCGAGCGUUAUCCGGAAUUACUGGGCGUAAAGCGUUCGUAGGCGGUGCAGUAAGUUGGGUUUGAAAGCCCGGGGCUCAACUCCGGACCCGGAUCCAAAACUACUGUACUGGAGCGUAUCAGGGGGCAGCGGAAUUCCCGGUGUAGCGGUAAUAUGCGUAGAUAUCGGGAGGAACACCAGUGGCGAAGGCGGCUGCCUGGGGUAUUGCUGACGCUGAGGAACGAAGGCCAGGGGAGCGAACGGGAUUAGAUACCCCCGUAGUCC